UCUUGCGCAAUGGGCGAAAGCCUGACGCAGCGACGCCGCGUGAGCGAUGAAGGCCUUCGGGUUGUAAAGCUCUGUGGGGAGGGAAGAAUAAGUCUUGGCUAAUACCCAAGAUGAUGACGGUACCUCCUUAGCAAGCACCGGCUAACUCUGUGCCAGCAGCCGCGGUAAGACAGAGGGUGCAAACGUUGUUCGGAAUUACUGGGCGUAAAGCGCGUGUAGGCGGCUAAGUAAGUCGGGCGUGAAAUCACACGGCUCAACCGUGGAAGUGCACUCGAAACUGCAUAGCUAGAGUCCUGGAGAGGAAGGUGGAAUGCUUGGUGUAGAGGUGAAAUUCGUAGAUAUCAAGCGGAACACCGGUGGCGAAGGCGGCCUUCUGACAGGACUGACGCGAGACGCGAAA
This 400-nucleotide ribosomal RNA is filed under the name uncultured bacterium. Its description in RNAcentral is "bacterial SSU rRNA". It matches the Rfam family "Bacterial small subunit ribosomal RNA", at positions 362 to 758 of the family's 1533-position model. The record is from RNAcentral.